Molecule: ribosomal RNA, 1491 nt
Filed under: Triticum aestivum (bread wheat)
Lineage: Eukaryota; Viridiplantae; Streptophyta; Magnoliopsida; Poales; Poaceae
Description: partial small subunit ribosomal RNA
Source: RNAcentral
AUGGCUUCUUCGUCCGGCGUCGGCCUCAACCUCGGAUCGCCGCCAUCUGAGAAGCUAGCAAGAGGAAACUUCAUCCUCUGGAAGACCCAGGUGCUCCCAGCCCUGCGAGGUGCGCAGGUAACCGGGCUCCUGGACAACUCUGACGCCACUCCACCCAAGACUGUGGAGAUCACGAAGGCGGACAAGACGACGGCCCUCGAGCCGAACCCUCUGUACGGGCCCUGGAUCGCCAAAGACCAGCAGGUCCUGUCAUAUCUUCUCAACUCCAUGUCUCCAGAAAUCCUUGCGCAAGUCGUCGGGAAGGACUCCACCUAUGAGCUCUGGACGACGGUGAACAAUCUCUUCGCCUCGCAAUCACAGUCCCGGAUCACCAAUCUAAGGAUCGCGAUCACCAAUACCAAGAAGGGCACAAUGUCGAGCUCGGCGUAUAUGGCGAAGAUGAAAAGCCUUGGGGAUGAACUAGCUGCCGCUGGUCGUCCCGUCUCUGAUCCGGAGAUGGUGGACUACAUACUCGCAGGACUCGACCGCGACUACGACUCCGUGGUGGCGGCGAUCGGCGCUGUCAAGAACACAAUCACCGCCGAUGACCUCUUCGCUCAGAUCUCCGCCUUUGAUCAGAGGAUGGAGAUGCUGGGAGACUCGUCUUCAGGCGGGUUUCAUUCAUCUGCCAACGCCGUCUACAGAGGCCGCGGCCAGUCCCGUGGUAGAUCCUGUGGGCGAGGAGGAAGAGGGCGCGGCCGCGGUGACCGCGGUGACCGCCAGCCUUCUCCUGCAAAUAGAGGCGGCGGAUUCAGAGGACGCCCUCGACAGCAACAGCAACAGCAGGUACGCGAGCAGCAGCAUGACUAUCCUGAGUGCCAGAUAUGCUAUAGACAUCAUCCAGGAGGUGCACGUGUCUGCUGGUGGCGCUAUGAAGAGAAUGAUCAAGAAGAGAAGGAGGCGCAUGCUGUCUCCUAUGGCGUGGACACUAAUUGGUACGCAGACAGUGCAGCAACAAAUCACAUCACAGGUGAACUUGACAAGAUGACAAUACGGGAGAAGUACAACGGAGGCGACCAAAUUCGCACGGCAAGCGGUUCUGGUAUGAAUAUCACCCACAUUGGUAGUUCAAUUGUUCAAAACCCCAUGAAAAAUUUGCACCUUAAAGAUGUCUUGCAUGUUCCUCAAACUUCCAAAAAUCUUGUUUCUGUUCAUCGAUUCACCCUUGAUAAUAAUGUUCUUAUAGAAUUCUAUCCUCACUUUUUCUUGGUUAAGGAUUUGAGCACAAGGAGAAUCAUUCUUAGAGGACGGUGCGUGGGAGGCCUCUAUCCACUCAUAUCAUCAUCAUCAUCUUCAUGGUCCAAUAAACAAGCAAAUAUUGUCACCAAGCCAUCAUCAUCAAGGUGGCAUAGUCGAUUAGGUCAUCCAUCUUCAGUCAUAGUUAAAUAUGUUCUUAGCAAAAAUAAACUCUCUUAUGAGAAUAGUGUUGAGUCAGUUUGUGAUCCGUGUCAA